UCUGUCUCAAUGUUCCAGGAGCCAUUCUGCCCUGUGCAGGCAGAAUAGCUCUGAGCCCCUUCUGCGGGCUGCUGCCAUUCUGCCCUCUUCUGUCCCCACCCCUAGACUCAGAGGAGCAAGGUCAGAAUUUUGCCCUUUAACAGACUAUAUCUCUACCCGCUAUUAACAAGAGUCUGGAGGUGUAACUGAACAAACAAGGGCAUUACAAGAAGCCACCAUAAUGUCACCAAUCAUGAUGCUUGAUACUGCCAUUCACAUGGCUGCAUAUCCCAAGUCCCAAAGCAGCUGGAAUUCAUCACUCUGUGCUACAUCUUUUUAAGUCAGACAGAGAUGACAGGUGAAAACAAACCCACCUGUGGUGUUGAGAGCAUAUCCAGGCUCCAGGAGCACAUUUUGCCAUCUGUAGAAACUGUAAUGAGAUUGUGCGCGUUCUGUGUUCCAACAACGUUUACACAGUACACGGGAUGCUGAAAAUACAUGAACACCAGGAAUCAGAAAGUGCAUUCUCACUUUUCAAAACCAAAUUUCAAUUUCAAAUGUCAGAAAUGUUGAUUUAAGAAAGGAUUAAACAGUCGCAUACUGCCAGCAUAAUACAGCGCUCAUCUACUUGCCAGAUAGGAAUUUAACUUGCUUUUGGUUGGAACUUUAAAGGCACAUUAUGGUGGUGGAAGUUCAAAGCUUCAUUUUACUCCAUCGUAAAACAACUUGAGUAAUGCUGUGAAAAUGCUGGAUUCUGUGGAUGAGAUUUCACCCACAGGGACAUGUCUGAUUCUGCUGAUAGAUUUUGAUGCUGAAAAUGACUGGCAGAGAGAAGCAAACCUUCCAAAUGGAAUGAAAAUGUAGAUUUUAUUGGAGAAAACAGCUGCACAAGGCUUGGACUUUGCCACAGUUUGGCUGCUAUGCCGAAUAUUUUCAAAUGUACUUCAAUGGAAAAAAUAUGAACAAAUCCACCAGCCUUCUUAAUCAUGAGACAAUUAAUGUACUCCAAUACAUCAAAGGAAUUGGGAGUGACUCCACUAACCUAUGGAGUUACUCCAGAUUUACACCAGUGAAACUGAGAGCAAAAUUUGGUCCACAGGCAUGUUAGGGUGUACACGGUACUUUUAUUCUCAGGCAUCGAUACUUUGGGCUCCAAGUUAUCAUCUGACAUCUGUUUGAUGGCCCAUGGGAAACGAGAUGCUGCUCCAAGCUCAGUUUCUAGUGGGCAAAUGUUCUCAUCACCAAACCACUGUCACAACCAAGCACCCUUAGCAGCACUCUUCAAAGAAUGGCCAGUGAGAAUGAACUACCCUUUGGCCAGUACAGGUGGUCUGUCCAGAUGAAGGAUAACAUCCAUAGCUGUAGGGCAGUGUUGGGAAACUUGCACUGCUACUGUCUAUUCAGUGCUUUUUUUGUGGAUAAAGAGAAGACUUUGGUCUCUAGAAAUGGAAACUUUUCACUUUUCACUAGCACUACAUUUAAUUAAAGAAAAUUAAGGGCCAAAUUUACUAGUGGCCUCAACUCAGCUCCCAUCUAUAUUCAUCCAAGUGAAGACAAUCACUUGUGCACACAAUCAUUUGUGCAAAGAAAGCAAUCCCCAAUUAAGGUGUACAGAUCCAAUUCCGCUCCCUUUGAAGUGAAUGGCAAAACUUCCAUUGACUUUAGUGGCGCAGGAUCACACUCUAUGUGUACAAAUUCCAUCAUUUGUGUGAACAGGGGACAGGAUGCUGAAGGCCUGUAUGCACAAGUGAUUGCCCUUGUGAAUUAGUGCUAGUCACAAACAGGCCAGAUUUGGAAAAUCUGCCCCUAACGCUACAUUUUUAAAGAAACCCCCUUAGGAAGUGCCCUUCACUUGACCCUUCCUUGUGUACCAAUUAACAUAGGAAUAAAAACUGAUGAGCACAUAUUGUUACAUGGUAAAUUUAGUCUGCUCAGCCUAAGCUGUAAUGGGCAUCUGUCCUCGUCACAAAACAACCUACAAAUUGAUAAAGCAGCCCGAAGGCUGGAAUUGCAAGGAUGGGAGGAGGAUAUAGGUCCAAUAGUCAGGGAGUGGCCAGACUCAUCGGGGGGACAUAUUGCCAGACCAGUGGUACCUUCCUAUAGAAUGCCUGGCUCUAGCCAGUGCUGCCAGCUGUCUGUUUCAUGAGUAAUGAAAUCCAAAAGAUGUAAACAAAACGAGCAAAAAGGACAACCAACUGUACUUAGCAAAAAGUGUAAAUUGGCUCCUUCCUUUCACAGGGGAGAUGCCAGCUUGUUUUUAUUUAUUUUGGAAAUGAAAUCAUCAUGCAGGAGUUUUUUGUCUUAAUUAAAAUUUCCUGUUCUUCCAAAUACAGCUGUGUGGUGGGUGUGAAAGGAAAUUAGUGAGUAAGCUGUGGUGGGGCUCUCUUUCCUGGGCACCAAUCACUGGGAAUAAACUCACGGGAAUUUUUUAACAAUGUUAACAACAUGAUCCAUAUUUAUUCAGCUAACUGAAGAGAGCAGAAAUAACUAAACACUUGUUU
Molecule: long non-coding RNA, 2480 nt
Organism: Mauremys reevesii (Reeves's turtle)
Lineage: Eukaryota; Metazoa; Chordata; Testudines; Geoemydidae
Exons: 3
Source: RefSeq, a predicted model, not a curated record